AGCUGUAGGCAUGCAGGGCCGGAAACGCUGCAGACCCACGGCCUGGAGCAGCUCGGAGGUGGUGAAUAAUAGCUCUUCACGUCUGCAAUAAAAAAUGGCCUCCAAUAAAACUACAUUUCAAAAAAUAGGAAAAAAACAAUAGGAAGAGUAAAAAAGUUGAAGAGGCAGAGCCUGAAGAAUUUGUGGUGGAAAAAGUACUAGAUCGAUGUGUAGUGAAUGGGAAAGUGGAGUAUUUCCUGAAGUGGAAGGGAUUUACAGAUGCUGACAAUACUUGGGAACCUGAAGAAAAUUUAGAUUGUCCAGAGUUGAUUGAAGCAUUUGUUAACUCUCAGAAAGCUGGCAAAGAAAAAGAUGGUACAAAAAGAAAAUCUUUAUCUGAUAGUGAAUCUGAUGACAGCAAAUUAAAGAAGAAAAGAGAUGCUGCUGACAAACCAAGAGGAUUUGCCAGAGGUCUUGAUCCUGAAAGAAUAAUUGGUGCCACAGACAGCAGUGGAGAAUUGAUGUUUCUUAUGAAAUGG
This is an RNA transcript of Mandrillus leucophaeus (drill), 518 nucleotides long. It is a transcript of the gene named chromobox protein homolog 3 pseudogene, with no coding region annotated. Lineage: Eukaryota; Metazoa; Chordata; Mammalia; Primates; Cercopithecidae. The transcript has a single exon. The record is from RefSeq and is a predicted model, not a curated record.